Molecule: RNA transcript, 1469 nt
Organism: Alnus glutinosa
Lineage: Eukaryota; Viridiplantae; Streptophyta; Magnoliopsida; Fagales; Betulaceae
Gene name: E3 ubiquitin-protein ligase AIRP2-like
Exons: 6
Source: RefSeq, a predicted model, not a curated record
AGAACAAAUCAAAUUUCAAAACAACCCAAAGCAAGACCAAACUCUCUGUGUCUCUACAGUUAUGGUUAGUGUUUGAUGAACAUUAGGAGGUAAUACCCAACAGGCCAACACAGCUUCUUUUAGAGACUUCCUUAAAGACCUUUUUUUUUUGUACCUCUUUGUUCAAACCCCACAAUAAUUUUCCAUGGUGUUUGUGUGUGUAUAGUACAGGACCACCACUAUCUGGGUUUCUCUCUCCCUGAUCAUUUCUCACUGUUGGUUUGGCUCCACCUCUUUCUGGGUUUCUCUCUCCCGGACCACUUCUCACUGUUGGCUUCCAUAAUUCUAUCAAGAGUUAUAAUCCAAGUGAGAGAGAAACAAAGGGUGGGAGAAAUGCUUGAUUACUAUCAGCAGCUUGCUGCUAGACCCUCUUAUCAAGAUUCCCUUAAGGUUCUUGAGGCUGAUAUUCAGCAUGCCAAUGUGCUGGCAGCUUCUAUUCCAAGAGGCAAGGGUGGUGCCUGCCUUCAAAUGAGAUUGGUUUACAAUCAUUUGGCACCCCUUUUACUGUUUUUGCUUCAGUGGAUGGAUUGCUCAUGUACUUGUCUACUUUCAAGUUAUUUAAACCUUUUUCAAAUAAUUAUAUACGAGGUGCGCCCUGAUGGAAAGCCAAAUUCCUCUUCAUGUGGAAGGAGAGCUACUAUCAAAGAAUUCUAUUCUGUUAUAUUACCAUCUCUUCAGCGUCUCAAUGCUGACUCAUCAGAGUUGGAUAUUACACAAGAGGAAGCUAGCGGCCUCAAGAUGGUUGUGAGGAAGAAGUUGGAAAAUAAGAGGAAGAUUUCAGAUGUGGACUUGGAUAGAGAAGAUGAGUGUGGCAUCUGCUUGGAGUCUUGCACUAAAAUGGUUGUGCCAGAUUGCUGCCACGCCAUGUGCAUCAACUGUUACCGCGACUGGAACACAAGGUCAGAAUCUUGCCCAUUUUGCCGGGGAAGUUUAAAGAGAGUGGAUUCGGGAGACUUGUGGGUUCUGACAUGCAGUAGUGAUGUAGUUGACACUCAAACUGUGUUGAAGGAGGAUAUGUUGCGCUUCUCUCUUUAUAUAAACAGCCUUCCUAGGGAUAUCCCAGAUGCUCUGUUCUUAAUGUAUUACGAGUACUUAAUUUAAUCAGAGAGACAUGAAGAAUGAUGCACAGAAAGUGAAAAAUGCUGACUGCCAACUGUACAGAGUCUGCAUAGCCCCGAGCGAGAGAGAAGAGCUCAGUCGCAGCCCAUUUGAAUGGAAGUGUGACUAGGCCUUUUGGACGGCCAGGCAGAACCGACCGGUUGAACUCCCAUUCAAACAGGUUCCAAUUGGCAGGUUCUGGAGUCCUAACAGAACCACCUUGUUGGAACCCUGUUCGAACAUGAUUUCCAACCGGCAGGUUUUGGAGUCCUGAGAAAGCCAAGCUAACCAUUUUGGCUGCACUCCCAUUCGAACGAGGUUGCAACCAGCAG